Molecule: long non-coding RNA, 178 nt
Organism: Parasteatoda tepidariorum (common house spider)
Lineage: Eukaryota; Metazoa; Arthropoda; Arachnida; Araneae; Theridiidae
Source: RefSeq, a predicted model, not a curated record
GCUUGUUGAAUUUUAAUAAAGGUGCUGUUGUAAGCAGAGAAUAUGGACUUCCUUGCGUUGUUGGACUUCGAGGAGCCACAAAGCAGUUUAAAACAGGUGAUUAUGUUUUGCUUGAUGGAAAAAAAGGUGUGCUUCAAAGAUUACCGAAGCCACAAGACGAAGACAAAGAUUAAGAAGC